RNAcentral lists this ribosomal RNA (585 nucleotides) under uncultured bacterium. RNAcentral describes it as "partial 16S ribosomal RNA". It matches the Rfam family "Bacterial small subunit ribosomal RNA", at positions 355 to 1375 of the family's 1533-position model. The record is from RNAcentral.
UGGGGAAUUUUGGACAAUGGGCAAAGCCUGAUCCAGCAAUGCCGCGUGUGUGAAGAAGGCCUUCGGGUUGUAAAGCACUUUUGUCCGGAAAGAAAUCCUUGGCUCUAAUACAGUCGGGGGAUGACGGUACCGGAAGAAUAAGCACCGGCUAACUACGUGCCAGCAGCCGCGGUAAUACGUAGGGUGCAAGCGUUAAUCGGAAUUACUGGGCGUAAAGCGUGCGCAGGCGGUUUGCUAAGACCGAUGUGAAAUCCCCGGGCUCAACCUGGGAACUGCAUUGGUGACUGGCAGGCUAGAGUAUGGCAGAGGGGGGUAGAAUUCCACGUGUAGCAGUGAAAUGCGUAGAGAUGUGGAGGAAUACCGAUGGCGAAGGCAGCCCCCUGGGCCAAUACUGACGCUCAUGCACGAAAGCGUGGGGAGCAAAACAGGAUUAGAUACCCUGGUAGUCCACGCCCUAAACGAUGUCAACUAGUUGUUGGGGAUUCAUUUCCUUAGUAACGUAGCUAACGCGUGAAGUUGACCGCCUGGGGGAUACGGUCGCAAGAUUAAAACUUAAAUGAAUUGACGGGGUCAUAGCUGUUUCCU